GUAGUGGAGCGACCCGACAUGAAACCGAACUGGUUCACAGAUAUAGAUGUCAUAUCCCUCACCCUCGCCUCAAUCACCCGCUCCCAAACCUUCAUGGUGUGACUUAUUAAUUUGAUACCCCUAUAGUUGUUGCAGCACUGGAUGUCAGAUAUAGAUGUCAUAUCCCUCACCCUCGCCUCGAUCACCCGCUCCCAGUCCUUCAUGGUGUGACUUAUUAAUUUGAUACCCCUAUUGUUGUUGCAUCAGUGAAUAUCCCAUUUGCC
RNAcentral lists this long non-coding RNA (263 nucleotides) under Nicotiana benthamiana. RNAcentral describes it as "long non-coding RNA (NBEN_LNC018774)". The record is from RNAcentral. Lineage: Eukaryota; Viridiplantae; Streptophyta; Magnoliopsida; Solanales; Solanaceae.